RNAcentral lists this non-coding RNA (29 nucleotides) under Mus musculus (house mouse). Lineage: Eukaryota; Metazoa; Chordata; Mammalia; Rodentia; Muridae. The record is from RNAcentral.
UAGCUUGGCACCUGAAACCAGGGCACUAC